Molecule: non-coding RNA, 273 nt
Organism: Myodes glareolus (Bank vole)
Lineage: Eukaryota; Metazoa; Chordata; Mammalia; Rodentia; Cricetidae
Product: small Cajal body-specific RNA 2
Source: RefSeq, a predicted model, not a curated record
UCUAGUGGGAGGAAGCUUGACUGGAGCUAUGGAUGGUGUGAACGACUGUAGUACAGUGUGAAAGAUUGUGUGUGUGUGUGUGUGUGCGCACACGUGUGUGUGUAGUGUGCACGUGUGUGUGUAGUGUGCAAGGUACAUGUGUGUUUGCACCCAUGUCUCCCUGUGCCUCUAUCUUGAUUCUACUGGAUCAGGUAGGUUGUGUGCCUCCAGCCCCGCCCCACAGGGCCAUCCUCAAAUGAAACGCCAAACAUCUGUGACUUCCCCUUCUUCUGA